UGGGGUGUAGCUCAGUGGGAGAGCACUUGCCUACCAUGUGUGAGUCCCUGGGUUUGAUCCCUAGCACUGCAA
Heterocephalus glaber (naked mole-rat) is the source of this 72-nucleotide non-coding RNA. The record is from Rfam. Lineage: Eukaryota; Metazoa; Chordata; Mammalia; Rodentia; Bathyergidae.